RNAcentral lists this ribosomal RNA (284 nucleotides) under uncultured bacterium. RNAcentral describes it as "partial 16S ribosomal RNA". It matches the Rfam family "Bacterial small subunit ribosomal RNA", at positions 335 to 603 of the family's 1533-position model. The record is from RNAcentral.
ACUCCUACGGGAGGCAGCAGUGGGGAAUAUUGCACAAUGGGGAAAGCCCAUCGAUGCAGCCAUGCCGCGUGUGUGAAGAAGGCCAUUCGGGCUUGGUUAAAGACACUUUUCAGCGAGGAGGAAAGGGUGUGUGCUAAUACCAUACAUCUGUGACGUUACUCGCAGAAGAAGCACCGGCUAACUCCGUGCCAGCAGCCGCGGUAAUACGGAGGGUGCGAGCGUUAAUCGGAAUUACUGGGCGUAAAGCGUGCGCAGGCGGUUUGUUAAGCGAGAUGUGAAAGCCC